AGCGAUGAAGCAGCGGCUGCCGUCCCACGCCGUCGCUGUCCACGCCCUCCUGUGUGUGUAGGCCUGCCUUGCAAUUUGCAAAUUGUAUACAAAAACAGAUUGCAAAGGCUAACGUUUUGGUCGGCUUCCUUCACUUGUUGGCUAGCGGGGGAAUUAAUAGAUGGAGGGCAAGGAGGAGGACGUUCGCCUGGGCGCCAACCGCUACUCGGAGCGCCAGCCAAUCGGCACGGCGGCGCAGGGCACGGAGGAGAAGGACUACAAGGAGCCUCCGCCGGCGCCGCUGUUCGAGGCGGAGGAGCUGACGUCGUGGUCCUUCUACCGGGCCGGGAUCGCCGAGUUCGUGGCCACCUUCCUGUUCCUGUACAUCAGCAUCCUGACUGUGAUGGGCGUGAGCAAGUCGUCCAGCAAGUGCGCCACCGUGGGCAUCCAGGGCAUCGCGUGGUCCUUCGGCGGCAUGAUCUUCGCGCUGGUGUACUGCACGGCGGGCAUCUCCGGCGGCCACAUCAACCCGGCCGUCACCUUCGGCCUCUUCCUGGCGCGGAAGCUGUCGCUCACGCGCGCGCUCUUCUACAUGGUCAUGCAGUGCCUGGGCGCCAUCUGCGGCGCCGGCGUCGUCAAGGGCUUCCAGGAGGGCCUCUACAUGGGCGCCGGCGGCGGCGCCAACGCCGUCAACCCCGGGUACACCAAGGGCGACGGGCUCGGGGCGGAGAUCGUCGGCACCUUCGUGCUCGUCUACACCGUCUUCUCCGCCACCGACGCCAAGCGCAGCGCCCGCGACUCCCACGUGCCCAUCCUCGCGCCGCUCCCCAUAGGCUUCGCCGUCUUCCUCGUGCACCUGGCGACCAUCCCCAUCACCGGCACCGGCAUCAACCCCGCGCGCAGCCUCGGCGCCGCCAUCGUCUACAACAGGUCCCACGCAUGGAACGACCACUGGAUCUUCUGGGUUGGCCCCUUCAUCGGUGCUGCUCUUGCCGCCAUCUACCACGUGGUCAUCAUCAGGGCCCUCCCCUUCAAGAGCCGUGACUGAUUAUACGUACAUUGUUUAUUACCAACAGCAACCAUGCAGCAUACGAAUCAUCGUUAUUAAGCUAUAUAUGUAUAAUAUCCAGCAUGUCUUGUUAAUUACUAGUAUAUGUGCUAGUAAGUGGUGCGUGCUCGCUCUUCCAUCGCUGUCGUCGUCUCAUCUGCUAUUGUUCGUCAUAUAUAUAUGUCCAUGUGAGCUAGCUAGUGUGUAUCACGCGCGGAGGCCAGUUCAGCUAGCCAUCAGUCUGCAAUGCACUUUGUGACUUCUCUGUUUAGUCCUCUCUCGCUUGGGUUUUGGUACGGUGAAGUAUAUAAACUAAGCAUGCAUAUGUGUAAAAAUUCAAAUUCAAGUGUAUGCAUGCAUGCCAAUAAUGAAAGUUAAGAAGAAGACUCCCUGUUUAUGAUAAGAUGUUGUUGUACCGAUU
RNAcentral lists this unclassified non-coding RNA (1448 nucleotides) under Zea mays. Its description in RNAcentral is "misc RNA Zm00001eb190950". Lineage: Eukaryota; Viridiplantae; Streptophyta; Magnoliopsida; Poales; Poaceae. The record is from RNAcentral.